UGGGGAAUUUUGGACAAUGGGCGCAAGCCUGAUCCAGCCAUUCCGCGUGCAGGAUGAAGGCCCUCGGGUUGUAAACUGCUUUUGUACGGAACGAAAAGGCUCUGGUUAAUACCCGGGGCUGAUGACGGUACCGUAAGAAUAAGCACCGGCUAACUACGUGCCAGCAGCCGCGGUAAUACGUAGGGUGCAAGCGUUAAUCGGAAUUACUGGGCGUAAAGCGUGCGCAGGCGGUGAUGUAAGACAGAUGUGAAAUCCCCGGGCUCAACCUGGGAACUGCAUUUUGUGACUGCAUUGCUGGAGUGCGGCAGAGGGGGGAUGGAAUUCCGCGUGUAGCAGUGAAAUGCGUAGAUAUGCGGAGGAACACCGAUGGCGAAGGCAAUCCCCUGGGCCUGCACUGACGCUCAUGCACGAAAGCGUGGGGAGCAAACAGGAUUAGAUACCCUGGUAGUCCACGCCCUAAACGAUGUCAACUGGUUGUUGGUCCUUCACUGGAUCAGUAACGAAGCUAACGCGUGAAGUUGACCGCCUGGGGAGUACGGCCGCAAGGUUGAAACUCAAAUGAAUUGACGGGGUCAUAGCUGUUUCCU
RNAcentral lists this ribosomal RNA (587 nucleotides) under uncultured bacterium. RNAcentral's name for it is "partial 16S ribosomal RNA". It matches the Rfam family "Bacterial small subunit ribosomal RNA", at positions 355 to 1375 of the family's 1533-position model. The record is from RNAcentral.